Molecule: long non-coding RNA, 5067 nt
Filed under: Sus scrofa (pig)
Lineage: Eukaryota; Metazoa; Chordata; Mammalia; Artiodactyla; Suidae
Description: lncRNA (ENSSSCG00000054969.1)
Source: RNAcentral
AUGUGCCAAACAUUGCGUUAGAAGCUUUUGUAUGUAAAAUCCCUAUUAUACCAACAAUCCUCUGAGAUAGGUAGUAUUACUCACAUGUUACAGAUGAGGAAACCGAAGCUCUGGGAUUUUAAGAGGCUUGGCCAGGGUGUGGAGGAACUAGGCUUCCAAUCCAAAUCUUUGGUCUUCAUGCCCACUCCUGGGUCUCCCCAGCACCACUGCCCUCUCAGACGUUUGCAGAUGCUUCCAAACAGAUCCAGAUGUGGAGACCACACAGGCUGAUGCCCAAAAUGCCACGCUGAGAAAAAUGUUCUCAAUACAGCUUUUUAGUUUUUUUGCCACUUUUAACUCUUUGACAUUCAUAAUUUAAAGAUGGCAACUCCUGAAGAUGGAGGUGAGUUACCUCUUAAUUAUUAUAUGCUAGAAAUAAUUCAUUUCUAAAUCACACUAUGGGCUCUAGUAGAUUUUUUUUUUUCUUUGCUUGUGUCACUAAAUUAGGGCAUGAGGAGAAAAUCUGCAGGAAAUAAGUUAUAGGUAGAGCAUCCAGAUCAUGGGUGUUUAUACCUCUUCUGAUGUCAGUAUAGAUAUAGAGGGCAAGUUUAUACAAAAUAUAUGGAGGUCUAGUACUGACACAAGGGCUGAGGCAUCCACACUUUAGACCAAAGUCUUAGUCUAUAAGGAUUCUUUAGGAACUUAAGUUAUUUGAAGAAAAGUGAUAGUUUAAAAUAGAUCUGUGGGUAUGUAUAUGAAUAUGUGUGUACACACACACACACACACACAAACAUGCACAGUUGAUUCUUUAACGGCCUGAACUGCGCAGGUCCACUUUUAUACAGGUUUUUUUUUUCAAUAGCAAAUACUAUGCUAUUACAUGAUACAAGUUUGUCUGUAUCCCCAGAUGUGGAACCUGAAAUACAGAGGAAACGCAUAUACUGAGGUCAACCAUAUAAGUAAAAUUUUCAACUUGGCUAUGGGUGGGGGCUUGUAACCCCUGUAUUAUUUAAGGGUCACCUGUAUACAGCUGUGUUUAGGGGGCCUUAGGACAUGAAUUAUUCAGAAGAACUGACUCUUCCAGUUAGCUAAGGAUACCUCUUUAAAAACAGCUUUCCUUUUUUUUUUUUUUUUUUUUUUCUCUUUUGGACAAAAAUAUAAAACAUAUUGUGUAUUUCCUACUGUUGUUUUAAGCUAACAUUUUUUGGUGAUCAUGAUUUGUCUUUCACUGAACUAAGCAUACCCCUUGCAUGGUCAUGUAAUUCCCACUCCCAACCUAUGAGGUAAUACGUUUACCAUUAUUUUACCAAAGAUGGUAAAGGUUUAAAGAAGCCAGGGAAGUUGGUCAAGUUCUCAUAACUAGUAAGAAGGAAUGAAGCCAGGAUUAAAACAGGUAUUCUGACCACCCCUCUCCCAAACUCGUCUCAUCACCUCCCUGCAUUGUUUCUCUGAAUAGUUUAAGUCUUUGUGGUGACUUUUACCCUCUAAAAUUAAAUAUUGAGUUGACCUGUGUUAUAACAAUGGUGGGGUCAUCUGGGCUUAAGAUCACAAUACUACAAUGCAUAUAAGUGUGUGUGACAUAUACAUUGUAAUAUUGUUCUCUUUAGACACUGAAUAUAGGCACAAACAGUCACCAUUUGUACCUGUAUUCAGUGGCCCAAGACUAUAAUGCUUUUUGGGUUCAUGACACCUGCAUUUUUCUUUUCUAUGCCCUCUUUUACUGAGCACAUAUGCUUUUGUUGUAGAAAGCCUCUGGUUUGCAGAGUUAGAGAGAUGUAUUCAUUUCCAGCUCUGAUACAUACCUGCAGUGUGAUCUCACUUUCUUCAUCUGUAAAAUGGGCAUAGUAUUGCCUGCUUUGAAGAGGAUGAAAGGAGACAGUGUAGCUAAGCAUCUGACACCAUGACUGGCAGGCAGUAAGUUUUCAACCAAUGCUACACUGUUAUUCUAGCCUAUCACUGCUGUCAGGUGGCUAACCAUCAUUUCUCCCUGCUAUCAGUGUUCCUGUUAUAUCUGGCUCUUCCACUCCUCUGUAGAGUCUAAUCUGCUGGGGUUUGGCAAACAGUUCCUGUAUUGGUAACAUAGCAGAAUGGGCUUGUGCAAGAUAUUGGCACUGAGAUGAGGGUGCAAAGUCAAGCCAGGAACAAAACAGGGGUGGACAUGCUGACAAAACAUGGACAACCUUCCAAAGCACAGUGCAUGCAGUUGAAACAGAAUCAGGGACGUGACUGGGGCCAGAUAUUAGGGUAGCACAGAGAUACCCAUGGGAAAGCCAAAGUCCACGACUCAGUCUGGGGUCACAAGCUGACAGGAGCCAAGCAGAAGAUAAAGCACAGAGGCAUGGGGCAGACAGGCCUGACUGGGAGUACUUCUUGUAGCCUGCAGUUUGUGCUAAUGCUCCUUUGGAAGGCCUGGAGCUUUUCCACAAUAGACUCUGAUCUUUUUUAUAGAUACAACUCACCAAGACAAGCAUCUCUUAAUCAGAAUGUGAAAUUUUUAGAUCUGAAAUUAAAGUACAUAGAUACUGAGUCAAGAUUUAAGGAAUAUUUAAGUAAGAUAAAUAAAAAGAAAUUUUAAUGUGUCCAUUUAGUUUGACUAACUUUGAUCUCUUAUUUACCAGUAAGGUGUUAACUAAGUCACAGAUAAAUGAGGUUUCUUAGUCGCAUAAUGUAUGAAUUGGGUUGCCAUUAAAAUAUAGGAUGCCCAGAUAAACUUGAAUUUCAGAAAAAUAAUGGAUUUUUUUAAAGAAUAAGUAUAGGCCAAAUAUUACAUGGGGCAUAUUUAUGCCAAGAGAUUAUUCAUUACUUAUGUGAAAUUAAAAUUUAACUGGGAAUCUUGUUUUUUUUUUUAACUUUUGUUCAAUCUAGAAACCAUAUAUAUGUGUGACCACAAUAACAUAAAUAGUAGUUAAAUAAGUACUUCCAGGAAUAGAAACAGUGAUAUAUAUGUUUCCAAAAAAAGGGAACUCUUAUUUUUUUCAGUGAUGUAUCUUUAUGGAUAUUGUUUUCCUCUCACAACUGAUAAAUGAGGUACAACAGGAGUUCCCUUGUGCCACAGCAAGUUAAGUAUCUGGCAUUGUCACUUCAGCAGCUUGGGUUGCUGCUAUGGCGAGGGUUUGAUCCUUGGUAUGGGAGCUUGAUAUGAAGGAUCAACUUACCAAUCAUGAAGCUUGAGUUCAAAAUAUUCUUUUCUAAUAGUUUGUAAAUAGCAGAACUAGAAUUCGAACUCAGGUCUGUUUGGCCCUACAGCCUUAAAUAACCCGCACACUCUUUUUAUUACUUUAAAUCCAGACACAUAGUCUGAGUCUCUGGCCAAGAAGGUAAAUACAUGUGUACUAGUUUUCUGUGAUAUUUGAAUAUUUGGAUUCUGGCCUCCAUCAUCCUUCAUUACACCUGAUGAUGUACUCACAAAAUGCCGCCAUUUUAUCUGUGUGUUUCCUUUGAUCAAAAAGAGAAAACCCAUUUCUGAUUGCUUACAUUCAGACUGGUAUGUUGCUGGGCUUUCUUAGCAGGUGCUCCUUUUCCUGUGCAUUUGAGGCCGUGUCCAGGUGACUCAGAGAAAUCCUUCCAACCACCCCAUGUUGAUGGGUCCCUGUAAUACUUCAUAGCAACAAUCUCACUCUCUUAUUCAUUUUUGUUAAUAACCUAGCCUAGCAAACUCUGCUGGGCAAACAUUGGUUUAAUGUGGAUAGAUUGGCCACUUUCCAGGAGCUAAUUGUUGACAAUUCUCCCUUGCCAUUGCAUAAUAAGUACUGCAAGUAGGUAAAGCUAAUAAAACCACUUAAGAAAAUGGAUGUCACGUUAUCACACCUAAUGAUGGAUGUUUAAAGCUAUGUUGGUGCCCAGCCUUCAUGUGUUUUGGGAGUUGGGUAUUUUGGCCUAUUUACCACAACUAACCUCUUUUAAAUAGUUACUGAAUCACUGGAAACCAAACUGCUAUCAUAUAAGCUGUAAACUCCAUUGAUUUUUUUUUAGAGGAUGUUUAUCAAGGACCAGAAUUGAAAAACUACAUUGUACAUCCCCUAUCAGCUCUUGUAUUGUUAUUAACAUCUAUUGGCAAAACAGGCGGGAGGCACUUACUAUUAACAUGACUGAAGCAAUUAUAUAAAGGCUUCAAAUAAUACCUAGCAAAUGUAUUAUUUAUUGCAUUUAACAGGAAGAAUUUAAGGCAAUUCAGGAACUCAUCAUCAUUAAGUAAGACAUCCUUAUCCCAGGAGAUACUGUAGAGGAACAGGAGUUUUAAAAUAUUUUUUAAAAGAAGUUGUGUUAGCUAAUUCCUCUAAAGAAAAAACAGUGGAAAAACUUAAUCUAUUAAAAAAAGUUCAUACUUUUUUGUCUGUAUCAUAUAUUCGCAUUCAUUCACGUCCUUUUACACAGAAGCCACUCAGCAUUCCAAUUAUUAUUUAUUGCUAAUUGCUUAUCUUUAAAUAGACCACAAGGGAAAAAAAAUCAAGAUUUCAUUUCUCGAGUUCCAGUUUUGUAUUUGAAAAUAUAUGCACCUUAAAUCAUUUUCAACUAAUCAAGUCUUGUAUAGAAACAUUCAAAUGAUUCAUUGGAUAUUUCACUCUCCAUCUGGAUAUUUGGGCUUUAUGUCAAUACAGUCAUAGCUUGAAUUUACUGUGAUAAACUUAGGCAAGAUGCAAUUAUGUCUCGUACGGCAUCAAAGUAUUCAAAGGGAAAUGAGCGCACUCGUUUCUUUGAUGUAAAAAUCUGACUGGAUCUGAGACAGCUAUUGUGAAAUCUUCAAAACAAACCACCAAAGUUUAGUAUUUAGAAACUCAUGAUAAAAGAGAAGUAAUUCCUCAAAUUCUCUAGGUAUCAAGGAAGCGAAAGUGUCUUAUAACUGGGAAGCUUGAUUAUCAGGAGGUUGGGAAGACAUGCAGUCCUAUUAUGAUUACCUCAAACAUCAUGGAAGAAUUUACAAACUUCUCAGAGGUCAUCACUUGCAUUCUUUUUAAGGUUCAUUUGAAAACUUUGAGGACAAUGGUGUUUGCACACUUAAAGCACAUGCCAUUUAAUUUCAUUGGGUUAACUUGACAUGAUCCACUACAAAGCCACACUUUUUAGUAAUCAGUGUUUAAAGAGUUUAAG